AGAAGCUUGCUUCUCUUGAGAGCGGCGGACGGGUGAGUAAUGCCUAGGAAUCUGCCUGGUAGUGGGGGAUAACGCUCGGAAACGGACGCUAAUACCGCAUACGUCCUACGGGAGAAAGCAGGGGACCUUCGGGCCUUGCGCUAUCAGAUGAGCCUAGGUCGGAUUAGCUAGUUGGUGAGGUAAUGGCUCACCAAGGCGACGAUCCGUAACUGGUCUGAGAGGAUGAUCAGUCACACUGGAACUGAGACACGGUCCAGACUCCUACGGGAGGCAGCAGUGGGGAAUAUUGGACAAUGGGCGAAAGCCUGAUCCAGCCAUGCCGCGUGUGUGAAGAAGGUCUUCGGAUUGUAAAGCACUUUAAGUUGGGAGGAAGGGUUGUAACCUAAUACGUUGCAAUCUUGACGUUACCGACAGAAUAAGCACCGGCUAACUCUGUGCCAGCAGCCGCGGUAAUACAGAGGGUGCAAGCGUUAAUCGGAAUUACUGGGCGUAAAGCGCGCGUAGGUGGU
This 509-nucleotide ribosomal RNA is filed under the name Pseudomonas sp. RNAcentral's name for it is "bacterial SSU rRNA". It matches the Rfam family "Bacterial small subunit ribosomal RNA", at positions 74 to 579 of the family's 1533-position model. Lineage: Bacteria; Pseudomonadati; Pseudomonadota; Gammaproteobacteria; Pseudomonadales; Pseudomonadaceae. The record is from RNAcentral.